RNAcentral lists this unclassified non-coding RNA (329 nucleotides) under soil metagenome. RNAcentral's name for it is "partial contains 5.8S ribosomal RNA, internal transcribed spacer 2, and large subunit ribosomal RNA". The stretch from base 1 to 120 matches the Rfam family "5.8S ribosomal RNA", at positions 35 to 154 of the family's 154-position model. The record is from RNAcentral.
GAUGAAGAACGUAGUGAAAUGCGAUAAGUAAUGUGAAUUGCAGAAUUCAGUGAAUCAUCGAAUCUUUGAACGCACAUUGCGCCCCCUGGUAUUCCGGGGGGCAUGCCUGUUCGAGCGUCAUUUCACCACUCAAGCCUCGCUUGGUAUUGGGCAACGCGGUCCGCCGCGUGCCUCAAAUCGACCGGCUGGGUCUUCUGUCCCCUAAGCGUUGUGGAAACUAUUCGCUAAAGGGUGUUCGGGAGGCUACGCCGUAAAACAACCCCAUUUCUAAGGUUGACCUCGGAUCAGGUAGGGAUACCCGCUGAACUUAAGCAUAUCAAUAACGGAGG